AAAAUCCUCCCCAGCUGGUUUAAUUCCCGCCCGGGUUUCACAAACAAGGAAGCGGAGGUUAACAGCGCGCAUGAGGUGACGCCAGGUCAAGAGAAGCAGAAACCGGGACGGCCCCCGCGUCCCCGCCUCUGUCCUCUACGCCACCGCCUCGGCCGGGACCCCCCCCCCCCCCCCCCCCCCCCCCUCCCCGGCCCAGCUCCGCUUUCCUGGACUCUGCCGGCUGCUCCGGAUCCAGCAGAGUCUAUUCCAAUGUCUGUUGAAUAAGAGUAAGAAGAUAAGAUUCAAAGUAAUUCCCCAGGAAUCUUCAGAUUCUAUCCGCUGUGAGACACUACCAGGUAUUCAAGGAUGGUUGGCUGCCUUUCAUUCCUCUGAACUCCGUCCUUCCUUGGCAUGAUGGAGAAGGAAGAGGAACUCAAGACCCACCUAGUGCAGCAUCUUACAUCUAAUGAGCCUACCUAAAGAUUUGUCAAGUUUUGACGUGUGUGACUGAGCCAUGGAGUUGUCUAGUGGCUAGCAUUCUAGAUGGGGAAACUAGGGCACAGGGAGAGGUGAAUGUCUUGUGAAGAUCCAAUGGCUAACGGGGCAGAGGUGUGAUUCAAGUCAACCGUUUGACUCUAGGACCCCAUCUUUACCUCCACACUCUUACUUUCCCAGACUGUGAGUCCAGUGAAAAGAAAUUAUCAGAAUAUCAAAACAAAGACAAUAAAACAAAACCUCACCUCAUAGAUCUCAGUAUAUAAUUUUUCUCUUUUUAGAACUAUCUGAGGAAUAUGUCAUUUCCAGCUUGGAGUAAGAAAUGGUACAAUAAUUUUACCACCUAAUUUUACUCCCUAGCUGGUUCCAAGAUAUUAAUAACUAGAGUUGGACCAUCCCUGCUACAUUUUGGUUGUUAAAAAUCCCCAGCUAUUUUCCAAUAUAUGCCAUUUUAUAGAAUAUAUUUUUCCCAAGUAUUUUUUCCUUUCUGGGGAAACAAAAGCAUGUUUUAACAGCACACAAUCCAUAUGCUUCUGAUUUACUUGUACUCAAAUCUCAAAAGUGUUGCUUUAUAAGAGUUAUUUUAUUCCUCUUCAAACUGACUUGAAUAAAAAUUUCUUAACAUUU
Long non-coding RNA from Zalophus californianus (California sea lion), 1101 nucleotides. RefSeq lists it as uncharacterized. The transcript has 4 exons. The record is from RefSeq and is a predicted model, not a curated record. NCBI's taxonomy places the organism in Eukaryota, Metazoa, Chordata, Mammalia, Carnivora, Otariidae.